Molecule: non-coding RNA, 1671 nt
Organism: Aegilops tauschii subsp. strangulata
Lineage: Eukaryota; Viridiplantae; Streptophyta; Magnoliopsida; Poales; Poaceae
Source: RefSeq, a predicted model, not a curated record
UGGCGGCGGGGUGACGCGGCGGCGCGGCCUGGCGGCGCCCGCUCGGCCCAGAUCUGGGCCCUUCGGGCCCCAUCUGGGCCUGGGCGGGCCGGCGGCGGGGCGGGUCCGCUUCGUGGCUUCCGGGAGGCGGGGGAGAGACGAUGAGCGGCAGGGUGCUGGCGGCGCCAUCGCCAGCUUGCUGCAGCAUGGCGGCGGGGCUUAGCGGGCCUGUUUCGGGCCUGGCCGGGCCAGGGGUGGCCUGGCAUGCCCUGCUGCCGCGUCCGGAUGGCUACCGCGACGGUGCCGGAGGUUCUGGCCUCCCGCACGACGGCGGUGGAGGUGGUUCCCUCCCGUUCGGCUUCGGUGGUGCUUCUCCCUCCGCGGGGCGCUUCUCCCCGAUCCUCUUGGCCUCGUGUUGGUGUUCGCAGUGAGGCGGCGUGGGUGACGGCGCAACCGCGAUGGCGCAUGGUGGUGGGCGGCGGUCUGGCUGGUCGGCUCCGGUCUGUGGGGCGGUGGGGAUUGGAGUACGGGAGAAAUCCUUGCCAGUCUUCGGCCCCGAUGCGGUGACACUUGCGGGUGCCACCAUUCCUUCCUGGAGGGUGUCGGUGAUAUCCAUCCCCCACCUCCCUCCGCGUGCCGGGGAAACCCUAGGACAUGUCCGGGCAGCAGCGUCAUCGGCGUCGCUUUCCUUUUUGGAGGUGCUGUUUUGUACGCGGUGGUCCGGAGCCUCGGGUUGUAGUGGUUUGUGUCUGGUGGGCGUAGCGGUGGCGGGUCAUCCGUGCUCUGUCGAGCUGCCGUUGUUGGCAUUUGCUUCUUCUUCUUUUUCUUUUGGGCUUGUUGUGCUGUUCGCCCCAGCGAUCCUGUAUCGGUGUUGGUUGCUUUGGAAUACAAAGCGGGGGAAACCCUUUUCCGGUAAAGGUGGAAAAUUCUUGGUUUUAGUGAUUGAGAUCUUCACUUCUCUGUACAUUGAAAUUCGUUUGAAUGGAUAAUGGUAACCUUGAAAGGUGGACACCAAUCACGUAGAUUCAUAGAAAGGUAUCUCGAAGGUAGACGCUGUCUUCCCCGUUUGCUUGGACAUGAGCUGCAAUUUUGGUUCAAAAGUGUUUGUCUCCCUCCCUCUUGCAGGUAAUCUGCUCGCUCUGUUUCCUUCAGACCAGAACUCAGAAGUACUCGUCUCCUUAACUUUCUUCUGAUAGCUUACUCAUGUAAGUAAUCUGACCACUCUGUAGUCCUCCUUGUCAUCAGUUAUCUAUCUUGUCAGCUUGCGUCAGAUGAUGUUGCAUAAUGCAUGUUCACUCUUUACAACUAAGUGCAGCUCUUGGUCAUUCAUGUUUCAAUUCACUGCUUUCUUCGAUGCCACUGCAGACAUCGGGCAACAUCACAGAGCACCAUCACCUUUGUAUGUGGAGACUCUGGAAAGCUGGACUAGCUGCUAGACAACCCGAUGAUCUCAUAACGCAGAUCUCCGGUGGCCAUUCUUCGACCCCAAUUUCAUCGGCCAGAUGUUUGCCGACACCGACUCUAGAUGGCUAGUCUAUCCAUGCUUGGAAUGGAAGCUAGAGCGUUCCUGUGUUGUCUAGAUGGAGUUGGAAGAGAAGUGGUGACUGGUGAGAACCAGAGAAACUCCUAUCCAUGUCUAAAGUAUUGGCGGCAGGAUUUGAUUCCACUCGUGCAGCAUCGCUGGCUGGUAAG